CCCUCCCUCUCAUCUCUAAAACCCUCUCAUUUUCCGCAUCCCUCUGUCUCACGUUCCUUCCGACAAAUCCUUCGAUCUUGCCCAUCCCAUCUCCAAAUGUGUUUCCCAGACCUUUGGCAACCUCCUAUUUUCUUUCUUAAAGUUCUACCUCAACCCCUUCGUGCCCUACAUCUCCGCCAUCAACACCGACCACAUUGUGAUCAACAAGGAAACCCUGGAAAUGCUCCAUAACAUUGGAUUCAACUACAUUCCCGACUUCAUCCAGGGUGACCACUGUCGCAAGCCACUGUCGCAAGCACCACUCACAAGGGCUUUCUCCUUUUCUCUCUCGCACCGAUUGGGAUUUUGAUUUUCGUGGCUAGGGUCUGUAUUCAAGCGUUCGUGGAGGUUGAAGCAAAUCACCUUGUGGUUGAUUUCAACCAUUUCAACAAGAUUUGCGAGUCGAAGGUGAGGUGAUCGUGAGGAGAUGGAACUGAGGUUCUUGACACAGCUGAGUUGUGGAGCUGAGAGGCUGGCCAGUGUGUUGUUUGAUUGCUUUUCAUUCCUCUGGAUAUCCACUCAAAAAAGUUGAAGCAUACUCUACUUUAAGAAAUGCGAGAUUGGAAUUGAAGCGUGACAUUAUUGAAUAUGGAGAUUUACUGUGUAGUUAUGAGCGUAUUGGCUAUUGUGUGGGAACAAUGUUGUUACAAGUCUCGUGUUGGAAUCCAAGAGGAUGCCAUGAAGUGAUCCAAAGCAAAUCCUACAAUUGUUUAGUUUUAAUUAGGCUUUUUUUUUGCUCACCACCGUUUCUUUUCCUUGUUAUUUUAUUGAAUUAUUAGUGUUGGAUGUUAUUUUUACACAUAACUAGAUGUUUGAAAUCGUUUUAAUAUCAUAAAUUUUGACAUUCAUAUUUAUGAUAACAUUAAAUCUCAAGA
Long non-coding RNA from Vigna unguiculata (cowpea), 914 nucleotides. The record is from RefSeq and is a predicted model, not a curated record. Lineage: Eukaryota; Viridiplantae; Streptophyta; Magnoliopsida; Fabales; Fabaceae.